RNAcentral lists this ribosomal RNA (253 nucleotides) under uncultured bacterium. RNAcentral describes it as "partial 16S ribosomal RNA". It matches the Rfam family "Bacterial small subunit ribosomal RNA", at positions 524 to 776 of the family's 1533-position model. The record is from RNAcentral.
UACGUAGGGUGCAAGCGUUGUCCGGAAUUAUUGGGCGUAAAGAGCUCGUAGGCGGUCUGUCGCGUCUGCUGUGAAAACUCGAGGCUUAACCUCGAGCUGUCGGCGGAAACCAUCUGGCUAGAGUCCGGAAGAGGAGAAUGGAAUUCCCGGUGUAGCGGUGAAAUGCGCAGAUAUCGGGAAGAACACCCGUGGCGAAGGCGGUUCUCUGGGACGGUACUGACGCUGAGACGCGAAAGCGUGGGGAGCGAACAGG